UAAUUUUAUUUCACAACUUCCUCUCUCUACUGAAUAAGUCGACAUUGAUGAGAUUCCAUAAUAUCAUUCUAGUUCAUGUUCUUCUUUGGAUGAUCAACAAUCAUGGCCCUCCUUCGUGUACGUCGUUGUUUCUCAUCUUGUAGAACUCAUGGGGUAUAGUGAAACUACAAGCUGUCGGUCACCUUCCAAUUCAAUGGUCUUAAAGAAGGAAGAUUGAAAAAUAAACUUAAUAAAUCAUUGUGUCCAUAAAUAUACUAUAAAGGUUGAUCUUCUCUUUUUCAACUAAAUUCAUUAUAAAUAAUUGUUGG
Solanum pennellii is the source of this 308-nucleotide long non-coding RNA. RefSeq lists it as uncharacterized. NCBI's taxonomy places the organism in Eukaryota, Viridiplantae, Streptophyta, Magnoliopsida, Solanales, Solanaceae. The record is from RefSeq and is a predicted model, not a curated record. The transcript has 3 exons.